Molecule: non-coding RNA, 178 nt
Filed under: pig gut metagenome
Source: RNAcentral
CAGGUUUUCUAUUUUUGUAGAACUAAGAGGGAAUCAGGUCAAAGGCCUGAACGAACCCGUCGCUGUAGAAGAAUAGUCUCUUUAACGCAUUGUGCCUGCGAAUGUCACUGAAGGAAUAUCCUUUGGGAAGACUUUAAUGAGACGCUAAGUCUUUAAGUCAGAAGACCUGCCUGUGGGG